UUGUACGGAGCAUUUCCUUUGUUCUCAUUCUUUUACAUUUUCAAUAAACUAGAACCCUUAAUUUAAAGAGCAUCUCUUCAAUUAUCCUGCUUUAAUCAAGUGGGAAUUAGGUAAUUUGUGCUCAUUCGAAGCUGUCUGAGUAAUAGAGAGUAAUUCUAUUACUAGAAAGUGUUGAGAUGCGAAAGAACAUGAUUAAGAUAGUGACGUUGGAGACUGCAUGUGAUAGGCAGAACACAUUCUCUAAACGAGAAAUGGAGUCUUGAACAAUGUUAACUGUCGAUUCUAUGCGACAUAGAUAUUGUUCUUCUCAUUUUACUCCUGGCGGAAAGCUGACCAUCUUUUUUGCAGAACAUUGGUAGUUUCUUCUUCCGAAAUCUUUUUUCGAAUGCUUAGAGUGGUAACUCUGAUCUUGACUAGUUAUAGGGAAACAAAUUUCAGUGUUGUAGUUUUAGAUUUUUGGUUUCUACCAAUCAUCUAUCCAGACUUCACUAGUUUUCGAGGUUUCCUUUCAUUUUGAUUAUUUUGAUUUUUCACAACCUAUAUAUUUGUAUAUGUAAUAAGCACUUAUAUUCUAGAAAUUUGCAGUGUUCGACACCCAUGUCAGUCACACGUCGACACUCCAUUUUCUUCUUACAUCUAGCAGUAUUUAUAUGCUUUUUGUUUAGGUCAUGGUUUAGCUAUUCGAAUACAUCUUCUUGUUUCUUAUGCAUAUGGUGUUUGGAAUCAAGAGGGAAUAUAUAUUAAUAAAAACAUACUCUAAUUGACACCCAUUAUUAACUACCAUGGCAGAGAAGUCUCUUAACUUUUUUGUAAAAAGUGUAAUGAGGAAAUAUCAUGCUUUCCUCCACAAAAAAGACAAUAUACACAUGUACAUGGUGAUAAUGGUAGGUGUCUAUGAGCUUGUGUUUUUAUUAGAAUAUAUGUUCUUGGUUCCAAACUGACCCUAAAUGAAGUAAUAUCUAAUAGAAGAACUUGCAAUGUCAUUAUACGCCUGUACAGACAUGUCGGCAUGGUGGGUUUUCGAGGACCUUGUGUCCAUUUUCUUGUUUCCUUGCCUGAGAAAACACUGCUGUACAUGUCUGAAACAGGUAGAUGUAUCUGUGCUCAUGUUGCAUUGUUGCAACAUUCUUGUUUGGUUAUCUUGUCUGCCCCUCUUUAAAUCCUGGAUUGUUGAAAAUGUGUAAGAUCUGUUCUAAUGGAAUGCUUUACUCUUUUAGGUUUGUCUUCUUUCAGUGAUUUGAGUAGUCCUUGAAAGAUAUUCGGGGAUAAGUCCUUGAGAAUGAAGAAAAAAGGAAUGACAGAAUUCUGCAAGAUCGAGAUUGUGCUUUGUUAACUCAAUUUCUCCAGAAAUCAUUCAGAAGGCAGGAUCACGGGAUUGAUGUAAAAUCUUUUUUCUGAUGAAUGG
Molecule: long non-coding RNA, 1405 nt
Organism: Magnolia sinica
Lineage: Eukaryota; Viridiplantae; Streptophyta; Magnoliopsida; Magnoliales; Magnoliaceae
Exons: 3
Source: RefSeq, a predicted model, not a curated record